UGUCGACCCAAAAAAUAUUUCAAAGAUGCGAGUAAGAAUCUUUUCACUCAUGGAAAUUGUGCAGUUGCAUUGUCCCUUGUAUUACCAGUUUCUAAGCGACCUUCAUCUGUGAAAUUGUCUGCGAUGGAACCAAAGUUGUUGGUAAACUGCUAGAAACCAUUGAUUCGGAGCUGAGUGAUCCUGAGGAGCAUAAAGUGAAUCCUUGCGUCGAGAUGGUACCACUAGAAAGUACGUUCAAGCACAUACAUGCAGACAUAUAUGCGCAAGUGUAUGCAUUGACUCACCUUCUUUUCCAUCCUUGUGGCUCAGGCAGUUGAGGGCUGACAAUUUUAUAGUUCAAUUGGCGAGUAUUAUAUUGCAUUCAACGUUAGAUAUGGUUUGAAACUACUAUUUUCGUCACAUUCACUUAUCAUUAAUGAGAAUUUAUUAUUAUGGCAGUGUUUGAGAAAGUAGUUUGAUUAAGUUAGAAAUUUGAUCUGGAAAAGUCCUUAUAUUUUGUUAGUUUACAGUGCCAAAAUAUCCGUGGUUGUGUGACUUUGCUAUGCUCUUUCUGGCUUUUUGCACAUCAACUAUACUUUCUCCAAGCCAGUGUUUGGCAUCCCAGCACCAGGUUCAUACUUAUAUAUCCCGCCCACCAACUGAUUUUAGUUAGAAUGGUUGAUAUGGGCGUUUGAAAAUUUGAAUAUGCUGUAGAGUCCU
Molecule: long non-coding RNA, 699 nt
Organism: Papaver somniferum (opium poppy)
Lineage: Eukaryota; Viridiplantae; Streptophyta; Magnoliopsida; Ranunculales; Papaveraceae
Exons: 3
Source: RefSeq, a predicted model, not a curated record